AUGCAAGUCGAGCGGUAAGGCCCUUCGGGGUACACGAGCGGCGAACGGGUGAGUAACACGUGGGUGAUCUGCCUCGCACUUCGGGAUAAGCCUGGGAAACUGGGUCUAAUACCGGAUAUGACCUGCUGUCGCAUGGCGGUGGGUGGAAAGAUUUAUCGGUGCGAGAUGGGCCCGCGGCCUAUCAGCUUGUUGGUGGGGUAAUGGCCUACCAAGGCGACGACGGGUAGCCGGCCUGAGAGGGCGACCGGCCACACUGGGACUGAGACACGGCCCAGACUCCUACGGGAGGCAGCAGUGGGGAAUAUUGCACAAUGGGCGAAAGCCUGAUGCAGCGACGCCGCGUGAGGGAUGACGGCCUUCGGGUUGUAAACCUCUUUCGACAGGGACGAAGCGCAAGUGACGGUACCUGUAGAAGAAGCACCGGCCAACUACGUGCCAGCAGCCGCGGUAAUACGUAGGGUGCGAGCGUUGUCCGGAAUUACUGGGCGUAAAGAGCUUGUAGGCGGUUUGUCGCGUCGUCCGUGAAAACUUGGGGCUCAACCCCAAGCUUGCGGGCGAUACGGGCAGACUUGA
RNAcentral lists this ribosomal RNA (573 nucleotides) under Nocardia sp. GR-10485. RNAcentral's name for it is "bacterial SSU rRNA". It matches the Rfam family "Bacterial small subunit ribosomal RNA", at positions 55 to 645 of the family's 1533-position model. Lineage: Bacteria; Bacillati; Actinomycetota; Actinomycetes; Mycobacteriales; Nocardiaceae. The record is from RNAcentral.